UACAGAGGGUGCGAGCGUUGUUCGGAAUUAUUGGGCGUAAAGGGCGCGUAGGCGGUGCGGUAAGUCACCUGUGAAAUCUCCUGGCUCAACUGGGAGCUUGCAGGCGAAACUGCCGUGCUGGAGUGUGGGAGAGGUGCGUGGAAUUCCUGGUGUAGCGGUGAAAUGCGUAGAUAUCAGGAGGAACACCUGUGGCGAAAGCGGCGCACUGGACCACAACUGACGCUGAGGCGCGAAAGCUAGGGGAGCGAACCGG
RNAcentral lists this ribosomal RNA (253 nucleotides) under uncultured bacterium. RNAcentral's name for it is "partial 16S ribosomal RNA". It matches the Rfam family "Bacterial small subunit ribosomal RNA", at positions 524 to 776 of the family's 1533-position model. The record is from RNAcentral.